RNAcentral lists this ribosomal RNA (386 nucleotides) under uncultured Polaribacter sp. RNAcentral describes it as "bacterial SSU rRNA". It matches the Rfam family "Bacterial small subunit ribosomal RNA", at positions 104 to 488 of the family's 1533-position model. Lineage: Bacteria; Pseudomonadati; Bacteroidota; Flavobacteriia; Flavobacteriales; Flavobacteriaceae. The record is from RNAcentral.
GGGUGCGUAACGCGUAUAGAACCUACCUUUUACAGAGGAAUAGCCUUUAGAAAUGAAGAUUAAUGCCUCAUAGUAUUGUAGACUGGCAUCAGUUUAUAAUUAAAGAUUUAUCGGUAAAAGAUGGCUAUGCGUCCUAUUAGUUAGUUGGUAAGGUAACGGCUUACCAAGACAGCGAUAGGUAGGGGUCCUGAGAGGGAGAUCCCCCACACUGGUACUGAGACACGGACCAGACUCCUACGGGAGGCAGCAGUGAGGAAUAUUGGACAAUGGAGGAGACUCUGAUCCAGCCAUGCCGCGUGUAGGAAGAAUGCCCUAUGGGUUGUAAACUACUUUUAUACAGGAAGAAACACUGGUAUGUAUACCAGCUUGACGGUACUGUAAGAAUA